UCAGCAGCCCGCGGUAAUUCCAGCUCCAAUAGCGUAUAUUAAAGUUGUUGCAGUUAAAAAGCUCGUAGUUGAACCUUGGGUCUGGCUGGCCGGUCCGCCUCACCGCGAGAACUGGUCCGGCUGGACCUUUCCUUCUGGGGAACCUCAUGGCCUUCACUGGCUGUGGGGGGAACCAGGACUUUUACUGUGAAAAAAUUAGAGUGUUCAAAGCAGGCCUUUGCUCGAAUACAUUAGCAUGGAAUAAUAGAAUAGGACGUGCGGUUCUAUUUUGUUGGUUUCUAGGACCGCCGUAAUGAUUAAUAGGGAUAGUCGGGGGCGUCAGUAUUCAGCUGUCAGAGGUGAAAUUCUUGGAUUUGCUGAAGACUAACUACUGCGAAAGCAUUCGCCAAGGAUGUUUUCAUUAAUCAGGGAACGAAAGUUAGGGGAUCGAAGACGAUCAGAUACCGUCGUAGUCUUAACCAUAAACUAUGCCGACUAGGGAUCGGACGGGAUUCUAUGAUGACCCGUUCGGCACCUUACGAGAAAUCAAAGUUUUUGGGUUCUGGGGGGAGUAUGGUCGCAAGGCUGAAACUUAAAGAAAUUGACGGAAGGGCACCACAAGGCGUGGAGCCUGCGGCUUAAUUUGACUCAAACACGGGA
RNAcentral lists this ribosomal RNA (639 nucleotides) under Penicillium sp. Its description in RNAcentral is "SSU rRNA". It matches the Rfam family "Eukaryotic small subunit ribosomal RNA", at positions 567 to 1210 of the family's 1831-position model. Lineage: Eukaryota; Fungi; Ascomycota; Eurotiomycetes; Eurotiales; Aspergillaceae. The record is from RNAcentral.